GAGUUUGAUCGUGGCUCAGAUUGAACGCUGGCGGCAUGCCUUACACAUGCAAGUCGAACGGCAGCAUGAUCUAGCUUGCUAGAUUGAUGGCGAGUGGCGAACGGGUGAGUAAUACAUCGGAACGUGCCCUGUAGUGGGGGAGAACUAGUCGAGAGAUUAGCUAAUACCGCAUACGACCUGAGGGUGAAAGUGGGGGACCGCAAGGCCUCAUGCUAUAGGAGCGGCCGAUGUCUGAUUAGCUAGUUGGUGGGGUAAAGGCCCACCAAGGCGACGAUCAGUAGCUGGUCUGAGAGGACGAUCAGCCACACUGGGACUGAGACACGGCCCAGACUCCUACGGGAGGCAGCAGUGGGGAAUUUUGGACAAUGGGCGAAAGCCUGAUCCAGCAAUGCCGCGUGUGUGAAGAAGGCCUCGGUUGUAAG
Molecule: ribosomal RNA, 422 nt
Filed under: uncultured microorganism
Description: bacterial SSU rRNA
Rfam family: Bacterial small subunit ribosomal RNA
Source: RNAcentral